GCUGGCGUAGCUCAGCAGGUAGAGCAGGUCAUUCGUAAUGAUCAGGUCGGAGGUUCAAUUCCUCUCGCCAGCU
RNAcentral lists this transfer RNA (73 nucleotides) under Candidatus Omnitrophota bacterium. RNAcentral describes it as "Candidatus Omnitrophica bacterium tRNA-Thr". It matches the Rfam family "tRNA". Rfam says of the family: Transfer RNA (tRNA) molecules are approximately 80 nucleotides in length. Their secondary structure includes four short double-helical elements and three loops (D, anti-codon, and T loops). Further hydrogen bonds mediate the characteristic L-shaped molecular structure. tRNAs have two regions of fundamental functional importance: the anti-codon, which is responsible for specific mRNA codon recognition, and the 3' end, to which the tRNAs corresponding amino acid is attached (by aminoacyl-tRNA synthetases). tRNAs cope with the degeneracy of the genetic code in two manners: having more than one tRNA (with a specific anti-codon) for a particular amino acid; and 'wobble' base-pairing, i.e. permitting non-standard base-pairing at the 3rd anti-codon position. Lineage: Bacteria; Pseudomonadati; Candidatus Omnitrophota. The record is from RNAcentral.